RNAcentral lists this ribosomal RNA (473 nucleotides) under uncultured microorganism. RNAcentral's name for it is "bacterial SSU rRNA". It matches the Rfam family "Bacterial small subunit ribosomal RNA", at positions 9 to 476 of the family's 1533-position model. The record is from RNAcentral.
GAGUUUGAUCUUGGCUCAGAGUGAACGCUGGCGGUAGGCCUAACACAUGCAAGUCGAACGGCAGCACAGUAAGAGCUUGCUCUUACGGGUGGCGAGUGGCGGACGGGUGAGGAAUACAUCGGGAUCUACUUUUUCGUGGGGGAUAACGUAGGGAAACUUACGCUAAUACCGCAUACGACCUACGGUGAAAGCAGGGGAUCUUCGGACCUUGCGCGAUUGAAUGAGCCGAUGUCGGAUUAGCUAGUUGGCGGGGUAAAGGCCCACCAAGGCGACGAUCCGUAGCUGGUCUGAGAGGAUGAUCAGCCACACUGGAACUGAGACACGGUCCAGACUCCUACGGGAGGUAGCAGUGGGGAAUAUUGGACAAUGGGCGCAAGCCUGAUCCAGCCAUACCGCGUGGUGAAGAAGGCCUCGGUUGUAAGCCUUUCGUUGGUAAGAAAGUACAGCCGGCGUAACUACUACGGUUGGGUAGU